RNAcentral lists this transfer RNA (101 nucleotides) under Auricularia subglabra TFB-10046 SS5. RNAcentral's name for it is "tRNA-Pro". It matches the Rfam family "tRNA". Rfam says of the family: Transfer RNA (tRNA) molecules are approximately 80 nucleotides in length. Lineage: Eukaryota; Fungi; Basidiomycota; Agaricomycetes; Auriculariales; Auriculariaceae. The record is from RNAcentral.
GGCUCAGUGGUCUAGUCGUAUGAUUCUCGCUUCGGGUUUCCUUCUCUCACGAACACGUGAAAAUUUGCGAGAGGCCCCGGGUUCAAUUCCCGGCUGAGCCC